This 484-nucleotide ribosomal RNA is filed under the name uncultured bacterium. Its description in RNAcentral is "partial 16S ribosomal RNA". It matches the Rfam family "Bacterial small subunit ribosomal RNA", at positions 29 to 507 of the family's 1533-position model. The record is from RNAcentral.
AUUGAACGCUGGCGGCAUGCUUUACACAUGCAAGUCGAACGGCAGCGCGGGCUUCGGCCUGGCGGCGAGUGGCGAACGGGUGAGUAAUACAUCGGAAAGUGCCCAGUAGUGGGGGAUAGCUCGGCGAAAGCCGGAUUAAUACCGCAUACGACCUGAGGGUGAAAGCGGGGGAUCUUCGGACCUCGCGCUCUUGGAGCGGCCGAUGGCAGAUUAGCUAGUUGGUGGGGUAAAGGCCUACCAAGGCGACGAUCUGUAGCUGGUCUGAGAGGACGACCAGCCACACUGGGACUGAGACACGGCCCAGACUCCUACGGGAGGCAGCAGUGGGGAAUUUUGGACAAUGGGCGAAAGCCUGAUCCAGCAAUGCCGCGUGUGUGAUGAAGGCCUUCGGGUUGUAAAGCACUUUUGGCGGGAACGAAAAGGACUGUGCCAAUACCACGGUUCGACGACGGUACCCGCAGAAUAAGCACCGGCUAACUACGUG